GGGGAAUCUUCCGCAAUGGGGCGCAAGCCUGACGGAGCAACGCCGCGUGAGUGAAGAAGGGUUUCGACUCGUAAAGCUCUGUUGUCGGGGACGAAUGUGGAGAUGGUGAAUAAUCAUUUUCAAUGACGGUACCUGACGAGGAAGCCACGGCUAACUACGUGCCAGCAGCCGCGGUAAUACGUAGGUGGCAAGCGUUGUCCGGAAUUAUUGGGCGUAAAGCGCGCGCAGGCGGCUUUCUAAGUCCAUCUUAAAAGUGCGGGGCUUAACCCCGUGAUGGGAUGGAAACUGGGAAGCUGGAGUAUCGGAGAGGAAAGUGGAAUUCCUAGUGUAGCGGUGAAAUGCGUAGAGAUUAGGAAGAACACCGGUGGCGAAGGCGACUUUCUGGACGACAACUGACGCUGAGGCGCGAAAGCGUGGGGAGCAAACAGGA
RNAcentral lists this ribosomal RNA (430 nucleotides) under uncultured Dialister sp. RNAcentral describes it as "bacterial SSU rRNA". It matches the Rfam family "Bacterial small subunit ribosomal RNA", at positions 356 to 777 of the family's 1533-position model. Lineage: Bacteria; Bacillati; Bacillota; Negativicutes; Veillonellales; Veillonellaceae. The record is from RNAcentral.